This 468-nucleotide ribosomal RNA is filed under the name uncultured bacterium. Its description in RNAcentral is "partial 16S ribosomal RNA". It matches the Rfam family "Bacterial small subunit ribosomal RNA", at positions 28 to 507 of the family's 1533-position model. The record is from RNAcentral.
GACGAACGCUGGCGGCGUGCUUAACACAUGCAAGUCGAACGGAAAGGCCCUGCUUUUGUGGGGUGCUCGAGUGGCGAACGGGUGAGUAACACGUGAGUAACCUGCCCUAGACUUUGGGAUAACUUCAGGAAACUGGGCCUAUUCCCGAAAGGGGGCCUCGCCUCAUGGGUGGGGGUUGAAAAUUUUCGGCGGUUGGGGAUGGACCCGCGGCUUAUCAGCUUGUUGGUGGGGUAGUGGCUUACCAAGGCUUUGACGGGUAGCCGGCCUGAGAGGGUGACCGGCCACAUUGGGACUGAGAUACGGCCCAGACUCCUACGGGAGGCAGCAGUGGGGAAUAUUGCACAAUGGGCGGAAGCCUGAUGCAGCAACGCCGCGUGCGGGAUGACGGCCUUCGGGUUGUAAACCGCUUUCGCCUGUGACGAAGCGUGAGUGACGGUAAUGGGUAAAGAAGCACCGGCUAACUACGUG